Molecule: ribosomal RNA, 1587 nt
Filed under: Turnix varius (painted buttonquail)
Lineage: Eukaryota; Metazoa; Chordata; Aves; Charadriiformes; Turnicidae
Description: Turnix varia (painted buttonquail) 16S ribosomal RNA
Rfam family: Bacterial large subunit ribosomal RNA (bases 90-1510)
Source: RNAcentral
AGCCUACCCUAGCCCGACCAUCCAACCCAUCAACACAAACACCCAAAAAUUCACCUUUCCCACAAACCAAAACAUUUGACCACAACCUAGUAUAGGCGAUAGAAAAGUUACCUGGCGCAAUAGAAACACGUACCGUAAGGGAAAAAUGAAAUAGCAAUGAAAAACAUAAGCCGCAAGCAGCAAAGAUUAACCCUUGUACCUUUUGCAUCAUGAUUUAGCAAGAACAACCAAGCAAAAUGAUUUUAAGUUUGUCACCCCGAAACCUGCGUGAGCUACUCACAAGCAGCUAAUAAUCGAGCUAACCCGUCUCUGUUGCAAAAGAGUGGGACGACUUGUCAGUAGAGGUGAAAAGCCAACCGAACCAGGUGAUAGCUGGUUGCCUGCGAAAAGAAUCUAAGUUCCACUUUGACCCUUCCCCUAGCGAACCUAAAGCACCAUGACAAAGGUCAACAGUAACUUAAAGGAGGUACAGCUCCUUUAAAAAAGAAAACAACCUCCUCUAGCGGAUAAUCCACCAUACCCUAUAAACUGUAGGCCCUAAAGCAGCCACCAAUAAAGAGUGCGUCAAAGCUCCCCGUACCAAAAAUAUUACAACAUAACGACUCCCUCCCCCUUAACAGGCCAACCUAUCUCAAUAGGAGCAUUAAUGCUAAAACGAGUAACUUGGACUAGCUCCUCUCAAGCACAAACUUACAUCACCACAUCAUUAACAAAUCCUAUAUUAACACCCAAACAAGACAAAAUAUCAACAAACCCUGUUACACCAACCCAGGAGCGCUUAUUAGAAUGAUUUAAAUCUGUAGAAGGAACUAGGCAAACCCUUCCAAGGCCCGACUGUUUACCAAAAACAUAGCCUUCAGCCAACCAAGUAUUGAAGGUGAUGCCUGCCCAGUGACAGAAAGUUCAACGGCCGCGGUAUCCUAACCGUGCAAAGGUAGCGCAAUCAAUUGUCCCAUAAAUCGAGACAUGUAUGAAUGGCUAAACGAGGUCUUAACUGUCUCCUACAGAUAAUCAGUGAAACUGAUCUCCCUGUACAAAAGCAGGGAUACCCCCAUAAGACGAGAAGACCCUGUGGAACUUAAAAAUCAAUGGUCACCGUACCCGAAAAUUUAACCCUACCAGGCCCACUACCCCUACCCAUUGACCAAUAUUUUUUGGUUGGGGCGACCUUGGAGAAAAACAAACCCUCCAAAAAUAAGACCACCUUUCUUAACCAAGAGCCACCCCUCAACGUGCCAACAGUAACCAGACCCAAUAUAAUUGAUUAAUGGACCAAGCUACCCCAGGGAUAACAGCGCAAUCUCCUCCAAGAGCCCCCAUCGACGAGGAGGUUUACGACCUCGAUGUUGGAUCAGGACAUCCUAAUGGUGCAGCCGCUAUUAAGGGUUCGUUUGUUCAACGAUUAACAGUCCUACGUGAUCUGAGUUCAGACCGGAGUAAUCCAGGUCGGUUUCUAUCUAUGAAGAACUUUCCCUAGUACGAAAGGACCGGGAAAAUAAGGCCAAUACCACAAGCACGCCUUCUCCUAAAGUAAUGUACUCAACUAAAUUACUAAAGGAUCUUCACACCCCCUCAAGAUAAGAGGCC